RNAcentral lists this ribosomal RNA (1236 nucleotides) under metagenome. RNAcentral describes it as "bacterial LSU rRNA". It matches the Rfam family "Bacterial large subunit ribosomal RNA", at positions 1564 to 2810 of the family's 2925-position model. The record is from RNAcentral.
UGAAUACGAGACGCUACGGCGUCGAAGCAGUCUAUGUCAUACUUCCAAGAAAAGCUCGCAAUGUCAUAAACAAAUAAUGCCUGUACCAUAACCGACACAGGUGGGUAGGUAGAGUAUACUAAGGGGCGCGAGAUAACUCUCUCUAAGGAACUCGGCAAAAUGACUCCGUAACUUCGGGAGAAGGAGUGCCUUAUUUAUAAGGUUGCAAUAACAAGAUCCAAGCAACUGUUUAUCAAAAACACAGGUCUCCGCUAAGUCGUAAGACGAUGUAUGGGGGCUGACGCCUGCCCAGUGCCAGAAGGUUAAAGAAGUUGGUUAGCAUUCGCGAAGCUGAUAACUGAAGCCCUGGUGAACGGCGGCCGUAACUAUAACGGUCCUAAGGUAGCGAAAUUCCUUGUCGGGUAAGUUCCGACCCGCACGAAAGGCGUAAUGAUUUGGAUACUGUCUCGGAGAGGGGCUCGGUGAAAUAGACUUGUCUGUGAAGAUGCGGACUACCUGCACCUGGACAGAAAGACCCUAUGAAGCUUUACUGUAACUUGAAAUUGAAAUUGGACUUUAUUUGCGCAGCAUAGGUGGGAGGCGUUGAGAGUAUUCUUGCGGGAAUAUUGGAGCCAUCAGUGAGAUACCACUCUUGUAAUGUUAGAUUUCUAACUUUGGAUCAUUAUCUGGUCAAAGAACAGUUUCAGGCGGGCAGUUUGACUGGGGCGGUCGCCUCCCAAAUGGUAACGGAGGCGUACAAAGGUUUCCUCUGAACGGGUAGAAAUCGUAUCUAGAGUGUAAAGGCAUAAGGAAGCUUGACUGUGAGACCUACAAGUCGAGCAGGGACGAAAGUCGGUCUUAGUGAUCUGACGGUGCUGAGUGGAAAGGCCGUCACUCAACGGAUAAAAGUUACUCUAGGAUAACAGGCUGAUCUCCCCCAAGAGUUCACAUCGACGGGGAGGUUUGGCACCUCGAUGUCGGCUCAUCGCAUCCUGGGGCGGUAGUACGUCCCAAGGGUUGGGCUGUUCGCCCAUGAAAGCGGUACGCGAGCUGGGUUCAGAACGUCGUGAGACAGUUCGGUCCAUAUCCGGUGUAGGCGUUAGAAUAUUGAGAGGAGCCUUCUUUAGUACGAGAGGACCGAGAAGGACAUACCUCUGGUGUACCAGUUAUCGUGCCAACGGUAAACGCUGGGUAGCUAUGUAUGGAGAGGAUAACCGCUGAAAGCAUCUAAGUGGGAAGCCCACCUCAAGAUAAGUA